This 447-nucleotide ribosomal RNA is filed under the name uncultured bacterium. RNAcentral describes it as "bacterial SSU rRNA". It matches the Rfam family "Bacterial small subunit ribosomal RNA", at positions 355 to 825 of the family's 1533-position model. The record is from RNAcentral.
UCGGGAAUUUUGGGCAAUGGGCGAAAGCCUGACCCAGCAACGCCGCGUGAAGGAUGAAGUAUUUCGGUAUGUAAACUUCGAAAGAAUAGGAAGAAUAAAUGACGGUACUAUUUAUAAGCUCCGGCUAACUACGUGCCAGCAGCCGCGGUAAUACGUAGGGAGCAAGCGUUGUUCGGAUUUACUGGGCGUAAAGGGCGCGUAGGCGGCGCGGUAAGUCACUUGUGAAAUCUCUGAGCUUAACUCAGAACGGCCAAGUGAUACUGCAGUGCUAGAGUGCAGAAGGGGCAAUCGGAAUUCUUGGUGUAGCGGUGAAAUGCGUAGAUAUCAAGAGGAACACCUGAGGUGAAGACGGGUUGCUGGGCUGACACUGACGCUGAGGCGCGAAAGCCAGGGGAGCAAACGGGAUUAGAUACCCCCGUAGUCCCUGAGCGGGCUGGCAAGGCGCAU